Molecule: ribosomal RNA, 449 nt
Filed under: uncultured bacterium
Lineage: Bacteria
Description: partial 16S ribosomal RNA
Rfam family: Bacterial small subunit ribosomal RNA
Source: RNAcentral
AGCGAACGCUGGCGGAAUGCUUAACACAUGCAAGUCGCACGCCCUGCAAGGGGAGUGGCGGACGGGUGAGUAACGCGUAGGAAUAUGUCCAGAGGUGGGGGACAACCAUGGGAAACUGGGGCUAAUACCGCAUAUGGGCUGAGGCCCAAAGCAGUGAUGCGCCUUUGGAGUAGCCUGCGUCCGAUUAGCUUGUUGGUGGGGUAAAGGCUUACCAAGGCGACGAUCGGUAGCUGGUCUGAGAGGACGACCAGCCACACUGGGACUGAGACACGGCCCAGACUCAUACGGGAGGCAGCAGUGGGGAAUAUUGGACAAUGGGCGCAAGCCUGAUCCAGCAAUUCCGCGUGGGUGAAGAAGGUCUUCGGAUUGUAAAGCCCUUUCGACGGGGACGAUGAUGACGGUACCCGUAGAAGAAGCCCCGGCUAACUUCGUGCCAGCCGCCGCGGUAA